AGACCCGAAACCCGGUGAUCUAGCCAUGGGCAGGUUGAAGGUUGGGUAACACUAACUGGAGGACCGAACCGACUAAUGUUGAAAAAUUAGCGGAUGACCUGUGGCUGGGGGUGAAAGGCCAAUCAAACCGGGAGAUAGCUGGUUCUCCCCGAAAGCUAUUUAGGUAGCGCCUCGUGAAUUCAUCUCCGGGGGUAGAGCACUGUUUCGGCUAGGGGGCCAUCCCGGCUUACCAACCCGAUGCAAACUGCGAAUACCGGAGAAUGUUAUCACGGGAGACACACGGCGGGUGCUAACGUCCGUCGUGAAGAGGGAAACAACCCAGACCGCCAGCUAAGGUCCCAAAGUCAUGGUUAAGUGGGAAACGAUGUGGGAAGGCCCAGACAGCCAGGAUGUUGGCUUAGAAGCAGCCAUCAUUUAAAGAAAGCGUAAUAGCUCACUGGUCGAGUCGGCCUGCGCGGAAGAUGUAACGGGGCUAAACCAUGCACCGAAGCUGCGGCAGCGAACGUAUCACUUAAAGCGAUUCAGCGGGUUACGAUUGACGGAGCGAAGCGACGUCAAAGCGUAUACAAAGUCGAGUCGGUUUAAGGAUACGUUCGUUGGGUAGGGGAGCGUUCUGUAAGCCUGUGAAGGUGGCCUGUGAGGGUUGCUGGAGGUAUCAGAAGUGCGAAUGCUGACAUAAGUAACGAUAAAGCGGGUGAAAAGCCCGCUCGCCGGAAGACCAAGGGUUCCUGUCCAACGUUAAUCGGGGCAGGGUGAGUCGACCCCUAAGGCGAGGCCGAAAGGCGUAGUCGAUGGGAAACGGGUUAAUAUUCCCGUACUUGGUGUUACUGCGAAGGGGGGACGGAGAAGGCUAUGUUGGCCGGGCGACGGUUGUCCCGGUUUAAGCGUGUAGGUGUGUGUUCCAGGUAAAUCCGGUUCACUUUAACACUGAGGCGUGACGACGAGGCACUACGGUGCUGAAGCAACAAAUGCCCUGCUUCCAGGAAAAGCCUCUAAGCAUCAGGUAACAUCAAAUCGUACCCCAAACCGACACAGGUGGUCAGGUAGAGAAUACCAAGGCGCUUGAGAGAACUCGGGUGAAGGAACUAGGCAAAAUGGUGCCGUAACUUCGGGAGAAGGCACGCUGACACGUAGGUGAAGUGAUUUACUCACGGAGCUGAAGUCAGUCGAAGAUACCAGCUGGCUGCAACUGUUUAUUAAAAACACAGCACUGUGCAAACACGAAAGUGGACGUAUACGGUGUGACGCCUGCCCGGUGCCGGAAGGUUAAUUGAUGGGGUCAGCGCAAGCGAAGCUCCUGAUCGAAGCCCCGGUAAACGGCGGCCGUAACUAUAACGGUCCUAAGGUAGCGAAAUUCCUUGUCGGGUAAGUUCCGACCUGCACGAAUGGCGUAAUGAUGGCCAGGCUGUCUCCACCCGAGACUCAGUGAAAUUGAACUCGCUGUGAAGAUGCAGUGUACCCGCGGCAAGACGGAAAGACCCCGUGAACCUUUACUAUAGCUUGACACUGAACAUUGAGCCUUGAUGUGUAGGAUAGGUGGGAGGCUUUGAAGUGUGGACGCCAGUCUGCAUGGAGCCGACCUUGAAAUACCACCCUUUAAUGUUUGAUGUUCUAACGUGGACCCGUAAUCCGGGUUGCGGACAGUGUCUGGUGGGUAGUUUGACUGGGGCGGUCUCCUCCUAAAGAGUAACGGAGGAGCACGAAGGUUGGCUAAUCCUGGUCGGACAUCAGGAGGUUAGUGCAAUGGCAUAAGCCAGCUUGACUGCGAGCGUGACGGCGCGAGCAGGUGCGAAAGCAGGUCAUAGUGAUCCGGUGGUUCUGAAUGGAAGGGCCAUCGCUCAACGGAUAAAAGGUACUCCGGGGAUAACAGGCUGAUACCGCCCAAGAGUUCAUAUCGACGGCGGUGUUUGGCACCUCGAUGUCGGCUCAUCACAUCCUGGGGCUGAAGUAGGUCCCAAGGGUAUGGCUGUUCGCCAUUUAAAGUGGUACGCGAGCUGGGUUUAGAACGUCGUGAGACAGUUCGGUCCCUAUCUGCCGUGGGCGCUGGAGAACUGAGGGGGGCUGCUCCUAGUACGAGAGGACCGGAGUGGACGCAUCACUGGUGUUCGGGUUGUCAUGCCAAUGGCACUGCCCGGUAGCUAAAUGCGGAAGAGAUAAGUGCUGAAAGCAUCUAAGCACGAAACUUGCCCCGAGAUGAGUUCUCCCUGAGACUUAGAGUCUCCUGAAGGAACGUUGAAGACGACGACGUUGAUAGGCCGGGUGUGUAAGCGCAGCGAUGCGUUGAGCUAACCGGUACUAAUGAACCGUGAGGCUUAACCUUACA
Molecule: ribosomal RNA, 2323 nt
Filed under: Salmonella enterica subsp. enterica serovar Derby
Lineage: Bacteria; Pseudomonadati; Pseudomonadota; Gammaproteobacteria; Enterobacterales; Enterobacteriaceae
Description: partial 23S ribosomal RNA
Rfam family: Bacterial large subunit ribosomal RNA
Source: RNAcentral